AUUGAACGCUGGCGGCAUGCUUUACACAUGCAAGUCGAACGGUAGACCCUUUCGGGGGUUGAGAGUGGCGAACGGGUGAGUAAUGCAUCGGAACGUGCCUAGUCGUGGGGGAUAACGUAGCGAAAGUUACGCUAAUACCGCAUACGCACUGAGGUGGAAAGCGGGGGACCGUAAGGCCUCGCGCGAUUGGAGCGGCCGAUGUCGGAUUAGCUAGUUGGUGAGGUAAAGGCUCACCAAGGCGACGAUCCGUAGCGGGUCUGAGAGGAUGAUCCGCCACACUGGGACUGAGACACGGCCCAGACUCCUACGGGAGGCAGCAGU
RNAcentral lists this ribosomal RNA (321 nucleotides) under uncultured bacterium. RNAcentral describes it as "bacterial SSU rRNA". It matches the Rfam family "Bacterial small subunit ribosomal RNA", at positions 30 to 355 of the family's 1533-position model. The record is from RNAcentral.